Balaenoptera ricei (Rice's whale) is the source of this 433-nucleotide long non-coding RNA. RefSeq lists it as uncharacterized. The transcript is spliced from 4 exons. The record is from RefSeq and is a predicted model, not a curated record. NCBI's taxonomy places the organism in Eukaryota, Metazoa, Chordata, Mammalia, Artiodactyla, Balaenopteridae.
AAUUACAGCGGCCACAGCAAGAACUUUUAACCUGGGUAAGCUUUUCCACUUACGAGGUGCCCUAGAAACAAGGGGGUUCUCGGCCAAGCACUCACUAAAAAAGAGUAGAGGGAAAACUAUUUUUCCGCCUCCUCCUGAGCUUCUGGUGGACAGGAUGAGACCCGCUGGGACAUCCCACUCGCUCCAGAGCCUGCAGAAUCCUGGGGAAAACUGGCAGAAGAAAGCAAAGGGAAAUACAACGACAUAGAAGCAAAACAAUGUGGACGGGAUUCUUAAAUGUGAGGAAACCAAGGGCAGAAGGACUGAGAAAGUGACAGAGCAAUGAGGAGCAAAUUCAAGACACAAUUCAGGUUCCAGUGCCUGGAGGAGGAGAACAAGGCUGUGGGCGCCAGUGGAAUCCUGAAGGACAGAGAUGUAUAGACGGGAGUCAAGG